GUGCACCAGGCGCGAAAACUCCGCAAUGCGCGAAAGCGUGACGGGGGAACCCCAAGUGCCGUUGGUCUUCUGAUCGACGGCUUUUGUGGAGUCUAGGAAGCUCCACGAAUAAGGGCUGGGUAAGUCGGGUGCCAGCCGCCGCGGUAAUACCCGCAGCCCAAGUGGUGGUCGCGAUUAUUGGGCCUAAAGCGCUCGUAGCCGGACUAGCAAGUCCCUUGUGAAAUCGGGCGGCCUAACCGUUCGGCUUGCAAGGGAUACUGCUGGCCUUGAGGCCGGAAGACGCCGAGGGUACUCUGGGGGUAGCGGUGAAAUGCUGUAAUCCUCGGGGGACCACCAGUGGCGAAGGCGUUCUGCGAGAACGGGCUCGACGGUGAGGGACGAAAGCCAGGGGCGCAAACGGGAGUAGAUACCCCUGUAGUCC
This 421-nucleotide ribosomal RNA is filed under the name uncultured Methanobacteriales archaeon. RNAcentral's name for it is "partial 16S ribosomal RNA". It matches the Rfam family "Archaeal small subunit ribosomal RNA", at positions 330 to 747 of the family's 1478-position model. Lineage: Archaea; Methanobacteriati; Methanobacteriota; Methanobacteria; Methanobacteriales. The record is from RNAcentral.